AUUGAACGCUGGCGACAUGCUUUACACAUGCAAGUCGAACGGUAACAGGUUAAGCUGACGAGUGGCGAACGGGUGAGUAAUGCAUCGGAACGUGCCCGGUCGUGGGGGAUAACGCAGCGAAAGCUGCGCUAAUACCGCAUACGAUCUGAGGAUGAAAGCGGGGGACCGUAAGGCCUCGCGCGAUCGGAGCGGCCGAUGUCCGAUUAGGUAGUUGGUGGGGUAAAGGCUCACCAAGCCGACGAUCUGUAGCUGGUCUGAGAGGACGACCAGCCGAACUGGGACUGGGACACGGCCCAGACUCCUACGGGAGGCAGCAGUGGGGAAUUUUGGACAAUGGGCGCAAGCCUGAUCCAGCAAUGCCGCGUGCAGGAAGAAGGCCUUCGGGUUGUAAACUGCUUUUGUACGGAGCGAAAAGGCUCUCUCUAAUACAGGGGGCUCAUGACGGUACCGUAAGAAUAAGCACCGGCUAACUACGUGCCAGCAGCCGCCGUAA
Molecule: ribosomal RNA, 493 nt
Filed under: uncultured bacterium
Lineage: Bacteria
Description: partial 16S ribosomal RNA
Rfam family: Bacterial small subunit ribosomal RNA
Source: RNAcentral